This 559-nucleotide ribosomal RNA is filed under the name Pelagodinium bei. RNAcentral's name for it is "eukaryotic LSU rRNA". It matches the Rfam family "Eukaryotic large subunit ribosomal RNA", at positions 194 to 747 of the family's 3401-position model. The record is from RNAcentral. Lineage: Eukaryota; Dinophyceae; Suessiales; Suessiaceae.
AAAAGAGCAUCAAUGUGGGUGAGAAUCCUGUGUUUCACUUGCAGUCCACCGUGCACGGCACAUGUUCUCAGAGUCGCGUUCCUCGGAAUUGGAGCGUAAAGUGGGUGGUAAAUUUCAUCUAAAGCUAAAUAUAGGCUUGAGACCGAUAGCAAACAAGUACCAUGAGGGAAAGAUGAAAAGGACUUUGAAAAGAGAGUUAAAAGUGCUUGAAAUCGCUGAAAGGGAAGCGAAUGGAACCAGUCUUCUGGCUGAGAUUGUUGCGUGCUACUGUGAUGCCUGGCUGCUUCAACGCAAGUGUUGNAGUUAGAGUUGAUCAGCUGUGCGUGAUGUUUCUCAGCUUGUUAGUCAACCUUUGUUCGUGCUUGGGGAUAACUGCAGGUACCAUGCUCUUCCCUGCGGGGUUGAUCUCGUGCUUGUUAGGACUCAGGUGUGUACACUUGGUGACAAAAUGGUUCUCUUCGACCCGUCUUGAAACACGGACCAAGGAGUCUAGCACAUGUGCNAGUUCACAGGUGGCCAAGCCUGCUUGCGCAAUGAAGGUGACUGCUGGGAUAUUUGC